AACGAACGCUGGCGGCAGGCCUAACACAUGCAAGUCGAGCGCACCCUUCGGGGCGAGCGGCGGACGGGUUAGUAACGCGUGGGAACGUACCCUUUUCUAUGGAAUAGCCUCGGGAAACUGAGAGUAAUACCAUAUAAGCCCUUCGGGGAAAGAUUUAUCGGGAAAGGAUCGGCCCGCGUUAGAUUAGAUAGUUGGUGGGGUAAUGGCCUACCAAGUCUACGAUCUAUAGCUGGUUUUAGAGGAUGAUCAGCAACACUGGGACUGAGACACGGCCCAGACUCCUACGGGAGGCAGCAGUGGGGAAUCUUAGACAAUGGGCGCAAGCCUGAUCUAGCCAUGCCGCGUGUGUGAUGACGGUCUUAGGAUCGUAAAGCACUUUCGCCAGGGAUGAUAAUGACAGUACCUGGUAAAGAAACCCCGGCUAACUCCGUGCCAGCAGCCGCGG
This 445-nucleotide ribosomal RNA is filed under the name uncultured bacterium. RNAcentral describes it as "bacterial SSU rRNA". It matches the Rfam family "Bacterial small subunit ribosomal RNA", at positions 29 to 520 of the family's 1533-position model. The record is from RNAcentral.